Molecule: long non-coding RNA, 879 nt
Organism: Monodelphis domestica (gray short-tailed opossum)
Lineage: Eukaryota; Metazoa; Chordata; Mammalia; Didelphimorphia; Didelphidae
Source: RefSeq, a predicted model, not a curated record
UGGCAAAGACUCUAAAAGUCAAGGCAAGCAGUGUAGGGAUCUCUACCUAUAUGAAGCAUUUAGCCAAGGCUUUCAUAAGCAAUAUUCCAAUGGACAAGAUGGAAAGAUGUGCGUUAGAGAAUAGUACAGGUAGCUGAGAUGUAACUACUUGAGCAAUUGGGCCCAAAGUGGGUUGGCUAUUGGAUGGAAAACAACCUGAUAGUGUGCUAACUGUGAACUGGUGGUGAGUGUUCAGAGAAUGAGGAUGAUUCAUUUAUUAAUUUAAUUAGCAUUUACUAUGAGCCAGGCAGUGUACAAAGACCUGGGGAUACAAAAAGAGAUAAAAGAUAGCCCCUGCCCUUGAGGAGCUUACAUUCUAAUAAGAGAGGCAACAUCCAAACAAACAAAUACAAAGCAAACUAUAUAGAAAAUAAAUAGGAAAUAAUUGCAAGAGAGAAAGCACUGUAAUCAAGAGGGGUUAAGGAAGUCUUCCUUUAGAGGGUGGGAUUUUAGUUGGAACUUAAAGGAAAUCAGGAAGGUCAGUUGUUAGAGUGGAGGAGGGAGAGUAUUCCAGGCAUGAGGGACAGUUAGAAAGAAUGCUGGGAGCUGAAAGAUGGAGUGUCUUGCUUUUAAAACAGCUAGGAGGCCAGUGCAGUUGGGUCAAAGAGUACAUGUUGGAGAGUAAGGUUUAAGACCAGCAAGCCUGGGAACGGUGGCCUUCAGCUGUCUCCUGCUACUUUUAUAACCAUCUGUUGCCACCUGCUGGCCAUUGUGUUGUGAUGCCAACUGCUAAGAACAGGAUAGCUGUCCCCAAAGUAUUUAUUUCCAUGCUUUAAGGAUCUGCGAUUUUAUCAUACUUGGGUACCAUCUUCUGCAUAAAGCCUUUCCUGAUCCCCUCAA